RNAcentral lists this unclassified non-coding RNA (334 nucleotides) under soil metagenome. Its description in RNAcentral is "partial contains 5.8S ribosomal RNA, internal transcribed spacer 2, and large subunit ribosomal RNA". The stretch from base 1 to 120 matches the Rfam family "5.8S ribosomal RNA", at positions 35 to 154 of the family's 154-position model. The record is from RNAcentral.
GAUGAAGAACGUAGCGAAAUGCGAUACGUAAUGUGAAUUGCAGAUUUCAGUGAAUCAUCGAAUCUUUGAACGCACAUUGCGCCCGCCAGUAUUCUGGCGAGCAUGCCUGUUCGAGCGUCAUUUCAACCAUCAAGCCCCAGGCUUGUGUUGGAGCCCUGCGGCUGCCGCAGCCUCCCAAAACCAGUGGCGGGCUCGCUAUCACACCGAGUGCAGUAGUUUACUCUUCGCUCAGGGCGUGUGGCGGGUGCUAGCCGUGAAACCCCCAACUUCUCAAGGUUGACCUCGGAUCAGGUAGGAAUACCCGCUGAACUUAAGCAUAUCAAUAAGCGGAGGA